RNAcentral lists this non-coding RNA (185 nucleotides) under Aulacoseira subarctica. Lineage: Eukaryota; Bacillariophyta; Melosirophyceae; Melosirales; Aulacoseiraceae. The record is from RNAcentral.
AAAACAACAACAGUAACUAAUACACAUCAUUGCAAAUGGAACAGUGCCGCUCAAUUUAUUCUAUGGUAUUCAUUUAUUGUUCCUUUUUCCUGAAUUGUUCUUCUUUUUUUUUUCUUCUCUUACAACCCUUUUUCUCACAUAGGGCUAAUAGCGGUGAACAAGGUGCGGCAGAAAGAAGUGAAGAA